This 595-nucleotide ribosomal RNA is filed under the name Rhodococcus sp. S67-8. RNAcentral's name for it is "bacterial SSU rRNA". It matches the Rfam family "Bacterial small subunit ribosomal RNA", at positions 382 to 987 of the family's 1533-position model. The record is from RNAcentral. Lineage: Bacteria; Bacillati; Actinomycetota; Actinomycetes; Mycobacteriales; Nocardiaceae.
CCUGAUGCAGCGACGCCGCGUGAGGGAUGACGGCCUUCGGGUUGUAAACCUCUUUCACCCAUGACGAAGCGCAAGUGACGGUAGUGGGAGAAGAAGCACCGGCCAACUACGUGCCAGCAGCCGCGGUAAUACGUAGGGUGCGAGCGUUGUCCGGAAUUACUGGGCGUAAAGAGCUCGUAGGCGGUUUGUCGCGUCGUCUGUGAAAUCCCGCAGCUCAACUGCGGGCUUGCAGGCGAUACGGGCAGACUCGAGUACUGCAGGGGAGACUGGAAUUCCUGGUGUAGCGGUGAAAUGCGCAGAUAUCAGGAGGAACACCGGUGGCGAAGGCGGGUCUCUGGGCAGUAACUGACGCUGAGGAGCGAAAGCGUGGGUAGCGAACAGGAUUAGAUACCCUGGUAGUCCACGCCGUAAACGGUGGGCGCUAGGUGUGGGUUUCCUUCCACGGGAUCCGUGCCGUAGCCAACGCAUUAAGCGCCCCGCCUGGGGAGUACGGCCGCAAGGCUAAAACUCAAAGGAAUUGACGGGGGCCCGCACAAGCGGCGGAGCAUGUGGAUUAAUUCGAUGCAACGCGAAGAACCUUACCUGGGUUUGACAU